RNA transcript from Carcharodon carcharias (great white shark), 3539 nucleotides. It is a transcript of the gene named proline-rich nuclear receptor coactivator 1-like, with no coding region annotated. NCBI's taxonomy places the organism in Eukaryota, Metazoa, Chordata, Chondrichthyes, Lamniformes, Lamnidae. The transcript has 6 exons. The record is from RefSeq and is a predicted model, not a curated record.
CGGGCACGGAGCACUGCCAUUGGUCAGCACCGUGAGUGAUGAUGUGUCGUGGCACCCUGGGUUGGGGGGUUGUUAGGAGAGGAGCGAGGUGCAGACUGAGUUGGAUGUUUGUUUGUGCCGUCUGUAAACGGGAGUGGGCUCCUUAUCCUCCACCCGCUAAAAUAGAGGCACUUGAAGCCGUCGAUAUAUAUAGAGAAAUAUAUAAACUUGGGGGUGUGGAGGUAACGCCUGAGCCGGGAGGGUUUACGAGUGAGCGAACAAUCGCAGGAAGUCGCUUCAAUCCGGCCGCCAUUUUCAGCCUUUGAAACUUUUAACCGACGGAGAAAGGCGACGUGUUCUUCUGUUAGCCGAGGCCACCCAGAGACUUUCCCCUCGCCACAGUUUCGGCCGAAAAAUUAGACGGGGGGGGGGGGAGGCGCGUUUUGUGUUGCAUGGUGACCGCCUCCUCCACUGGACGUCGCACCUCAGAUGCUGAGCUCGAGAUUUUAGCCACAGCUCGGAAGCGAAGGAGGCGGGAGGUAGCGAUGCACCCGUUACCUCUGCCCCGACCGCAGCCCGGCCCUCUGCCCGUCAGCGCCUCCAAGACCGUCGCCUCAAGCCGCCACCGUCACCACCACCAGCAGCAGCAGCAACAACAACAGCAGCAGCACCAGCAUCAGAGUAAGGCGGCCGUGGUGAGCCGGGGCUGGAAGAUCCGCUGCUCUUCCUCGGCCGGGCUGCUGCAGAGACACACGCACAGCCGUCCAGCGCUGCAACCCGGCUCCCGGAGCGGGGCUGGCGGACCGUCGGCGGCCGACAAAACGCCGUCAGCGACCGCCAGCUCUGAGCGCGCAGACGAGCAUAAGAAGGAAGGGAAGGUGACCAGAUUGAACAUGGGAAGAUCGGAUAAAGUAAUAGUUCCACACUCUCCAUUCAUGUAUAGUGUAAUUAAAGCAGAAGAGUACUGCCAACCCUUAAGUACCAAGAAAAGAAACAAGCGUAACCUUCAGUUGAGAAAAACUUCAAUAAAAAGAAAUGAAAACAACCAUAGUCAGAAUGCUCCCUCUGUUGAACGCUGCAACAUUCUCAAAAAAGAGGGGGGAAAGCCGAUUAUUUCUGGAAGCCCCUCCAAAAAUCUAAAAUUACUGAAAGUUGGUUUGAAGUCUGUACUGAGUCUUCAAGGAGAUCAGAACUAUGCUGGGCCAAAAUUCAGUGAGCCACCGUCUCCCAGUGUUCUACCUAAGCCACCCAGUCAUUGGGUAGGAGCACACGCUGAAUAUCCUGAUAAGAAUUCCACUCAAAUGCAUCCAAGCUUUUCACCUCAACUACUGCAUGUGCUCCUGAGAUCUGUCCAUGGUGGAUACUGUAUGCUGCCUGCUUUGCUGAGAAUUUUCUAUUUAUUUUUCAGAUUUCAAGCAUCUGCUAUAUUUAGCUUUUGUAUUAGUCUGCACUCUGAAAAGUAACAUCUGCAGUAAGGCUGCAAUGUGAACGUCCUCUGGUGAGCUGGUUCCUGUGCUAUCCUAUCCCACUGGUCCUAGCUUCUGCACACCUGUGUCCUAUGACUGACAGUGUGAAGACUCUUCCUCUAAUCUAGUCUUUAAGUGUGCAUGAUACCACUCUCUGAGUCAAUUCUUGUUAGGAUCAUGAUGGCACAUCUUAUAGAAAAGGGUGCCUUUUCCUCUAGUGCCAUAGGGGCUCAACAAUUUCUGCACCUGAAAUUAAAGAGAAGGGCAAGGGUUAGUUUUUAGUGUCACGCAUCAGCAAGAGAGAUGACUGGCUGCUGAAAGCAGCUAGUUAGUCAUGCAGAGUGUGAAGGUGAGAUAGAAACAAGAAGGAAAAACUGUUAAUAGCCUUAUGACUUGUUUUGAGAAUAUGCUUACCAGUAUUAUGAAGUGGUGAUGUUAUACAACGACAGUGCGAUAUGUGAGGAGUGAGGGUUACAAUUGCACAGAGAGUAGGAGAUAUGUGAGUAGAAUAAUAGGAACUGGAGUAUAUUGUAUUGCUGUGACCUUAGGAGAGUGAGGGGAACUGGAGAAUGGGAAUGCUGUGAACAGUGAACUUGCAAAUGAUUCACGAUGAUCACUUAACUUCUUUUGGCAAUGCAUCUGGAAGCUAAGACUUAGCAGCCUCAUUAAUCACCUCUUCGCACUACCUUCGAAAUCAUUGGUUGGAAAACUUUCUGCCACCUCUAAGUGAUCAGAAUCUUGUGGUGCACCUGCUCAAGCAUCUCCAAAGCUGCAUCAGAGAAUCCGGUUGCCCCACCUCCAGCUCCUUCAGCCAUGUCUCCCAGUUUCCAGCAUUUCCUAUAGUCAAAGUACUCCUCUCGUUUAAGAGGUACAGGCUGUUUUUAACUGGCAACAACAUCAUCAGAUUCCUCCCCCAGCUCAGACAGAUAUACAGCUAACAAACAGUUCUGGUAACAAGCAGUUGGCUAAAUGCCUGUCCAGCACAUACAUUUCAAGUGGUUUUUAUGGCAUGCAGCAAGAUCCUUAUCCCCAUGUGCUCACUUCCGGUGUGAUUGAAUUUCUUGGCCUCUAUUUUUAUCUUAAUUUUUGUACCCACUACUUUAGACGCACUUGUUUCAAGUUUAUUUUUUAAUAGUUUAUUAUGCUAAAAUUGAACCUAAUAGAAGUAUGAACUUUAUUUAAGGAAAAUAAUUUAUUAUAUGUUGUGAAAAGCCCCAGUAAUUACAAUCAUGCAUUUUAUCCUUCAGUUGCUCAUUGGAGAUUUCUUACAUCCAUUUAUUAAACUGCGUCAAAGGCUAAUGCAAGAGCAAUAGAAAAAUGAGUGUAGACUAAAAGUGAGGUAAUAAUUUGCAUAGGAUUUGUGUUAAAUUACCCUAGUUUCUAUUGAAAAAUUGGCCAAAGCAGGAUAGGGUGAUGAGGAGGUUGGUGCAAGUAGCUGUUGUUGCAAAAGGAAAAAAAUUUAAAUAAUCGAAGGUUUACCGAACACUGGAGAGUAUAUAUUGUGCUGCAGAAUUUAGGUCAUAAAGUUAAGCACAAAUGGAUCAGUAUGCUAAUUGCAGGCAUGUGGAAUAGGAUCAGAACAGGUCUUCUAUGGUUUUAAGUUAAGAAAUGAUAUACUGGGGCAACUAUUCCUUACAAAAAGUCAUUGAUAAUUCAUUUUCUCAUUGGCUGAUUGCCAUGCCAUUACGUAACUCCUGGAGCUUAUGGUCUUACAGUGUGUCAAUUACAAUUGAAGACCUUGGUCACAUUUUGCUGCUGAAAUGAUUCGGCAUGUUUUAGGGGCCAUCAUUUAAUUUUGUCAGAGUAUUUGAUUUUUAGUUUUUCUUUAGCAUCACUAAGUUAAAAUGACUUACCUGUUUGAGAAAUAUCAAAGAAUUUACAGCAUGGAAAUAGGCUAACUGGCUCAUCGGAGUUAUAUCAGCUCUCUGAAAGAAAUAUCCAGUUGGUCCCAUUGACAACUGCAUGAGUUCAAGAGAAUUGCCAGAACAGUCUCCCUAGAAUUGAGGCCGCUAUUCAAGUGGAUUCUAGCCUCAUGGAGAGUUAAGUGGAAGUUAUUAAUGGAAGUAAUCAUUUGCCACCAAAAAGGAACUGGAG